Molecule: non-coding RNA, 155 nt
Organism: Populus trichocarpa (black cottonwood)
Lineage: Eukaryota; Viridiplantae; Streptophyta; Magnoliopsida; Malpighiales; Salicaceae
Source: Rfam
UCUAGAACUCUAGAUAUGGGCUGAACACUAAACAGUGUCUGGGCUGCAGGACAGAUUCCGACUUCUAUGUUGUUGCUACCAUUUGAACUAAAAAAUGACACUUUUAAAACUUGGACUCUCAUAAAAGUUUUAGGCCUAUGUCUUAGCUUUCCAUA